This 440-nucleotide ribosomal RNA is filed under the name uncultured bacterium. RNAcentral's name for it is "partial 16S ribosomal RNA". It matches the Rfam family "Bacterial small subunit ribosomal RNA", at positions 338 to 795 of the family's 1533-position model. The record is from RNAcentral.
CCUACGGGAGGCAGCAGUGGGGAAUAUUGCACAAUGGGGGAAACCCUGAUGCAGCGACGCCGCGUGAGUGAAGAAGUAAUUCGUUAUGUAAAGCUCUAUCAGCAGGGAAGAAAAUGACGGUACCUGAGUAAGAAGCCCCGGCUAACUACGUGCCAGCAGCCGCGGUAAUACGUAGGGGGCAAGCGUUAUCCGGAUUUACUGGGUGUAAAGGGAGCGUAGACGGCAGUGCAAGUCUGGAGUGAAAGGCUGGGGCUCAACCCCAGGACUGCAUUUGGAACUGUCAUGCUAGAGUGUCGGAGAGGCAGGCGGAAUUCCUAGUGUAGCGGUGAAAUGCGUAGAUAUUAGGAGGAACACCAGUGGCGAAGGCGGCCUGCUGGACGAUGACUGACGUUGAGGCUCGAAAGCGUGGGGAGCAAACAGGAUUAGAUACCCUAGUAGUC